CAUAUCAAAAAGCGGAGGAAAAGAAACCAACAGGGAUUGCCUCAGUAGCGGCGAGUGAAGCGGCAAAAGCUCAAAUUUGAAAUCUGGCGUCUUUGGCGUCCGAGUUGUAAUUUGAAGAAGGUAUCUUUGGGCCCGGCUCUUGUCUAUGUUCCUUGGAACAGGACGUCACAGAGGGUGAGAAUCCCGUGCGAUGAGAUGACCCGGGUCUGUGUAAAGUUCCUUCGACGAGUCGAGUUGUUUGGGAAUGCAGCUCUAAGUGGGUGGUAAAUUCCAUCUAAAGCUAAAUAUUGGCGAGAGACCGAUAGCGAACAAGUACAGUGAUGGAAAGAUGAAAAGAACUUUGAAAAGAGAGUGAAAAAGUACGUGAAAUUGUUGAAAGGGAAGGGCUUGAGAUCAGACUUGGUAUUUUGCAUGCUGCUCUCUCGGGGGCGGCCGCUGCGGUUUACCGGGCCAGCAUCGGUUUGGAGCGGCAGGAUAAUGGCGGAGGAAUGUGGCACGGCUUCUGCUGUGUGUUAUAUCCUCUGACGAUACUGCCAGCCUAGACCGAGGACUGCGGUUUUUACCUAGGAUGUUGGCAUAAUGAUCUUAAGUCGCCCGUCUUGAAACACGGACC
This 613-nucleotide ribosomal RNA is filed under the name Candida albicans. RNAcentral's name for it is "eukaryotic LSU rRNA". It matches the Rfam family "Eukaryotic large subunit ribosomal RNA", at positions 39 to 667 of the family's 3401-position model. Lineage: Eukaryota; Fungi; Ascomycota; Pichiomycetes; Serinales; Debaryomycetaceae. The record is from RNAcentral.